GAUGAACGCUAGCGGCAGGCCUAAUACAUGCAAGACGAACGGUAACUUUUGUAGCAAUACGGAAGCUAGAGUGUCGUAAGGGUGCGUAACACGUAUGCAAUCUGCCCUCAACAGGAGGAUAGCUCCCCGAAAGGGGAAUUAACACUCCGUAAUAUGUAGGUGUGGCAUCGCAUUUACAUUAAAACUGAGGUGGUUGAGGAUGAGCAUGCGCAUGAUUAGCUAGUUGGCGGGGUAAUGGCCCACCAAGGCGAUGAUCAUUAGGGGAACUGAGAGGUUGAUCCCCCACACUGGCACUGAGAUACGGGCCAGACUCCUACGGGAGGCAGCAGUAGGGAAUAUUGGACAAUGGGUGAGAGCCUGAUCCAGCCAUGCCGCGUGCAGGAAGACGGCCUUCUGGGUUGUAAACUGCUUUUAUCUGGGGAUAAAAAGCCCUUGCGAGGGACAUUGAAGGUACCAGAUGAAUAAGCCACGGCUAACUACGUG
This 483-nucleotide ribosomal RNA is filed under the name uncultured organism. RNAcentral's name for it is "bacterial SSU rRNA". It matches the Rfam family "Bacterial small subunit ribosomal RNA", at positions 28 to 507 of the family's 1533-position model. The record is from RNAcentral.